RNAcentral lists this ribosomal RNA (156 nucleotides) under Nicotiana attenuata. RNAcentral's name for it is "rRNA 5_8S_rRNA". It matches the Rfam family "5.8S ribosomal RNA". Rfam says of the family: 5.8S ribosomal RNA (5.8S rRNA) is a component of the large subunit of the eukaryotic ribosome. Lineage: Eukaryota; Viridiplantae; Streptophyta; Magnoliopsida; Solanales; Solanaceae. The record is from RNAcentral.
GACUCUCGACAACGGAUAUCUCGGCUCUCGCAUUGAUGAAGAAUGUAGCAAAAUAUUAUACUUGGUGUGAAUUGCAGAAUCCCGUGAACCAUCGAGUCUUUGAACGCAAAUUAUGCCCGAAGCCAUUAGGCCAAGGGCACGUCUGCCUGGGCAUCA